Molecule: ribosomal RNA, 1343 nt
Filed under: uncultured bacterium
Lineage: Bacteria
Description: 16S ribosomal RNA
Rfam family: Bacterial small subunit ribosomal RNA
Source: RNAcentral
GACGAACGCUGGCGGCGUGCUUAACACAUGCAAGUCGAACGGAAAGGCCCUGCUUUUGUGGGGUGCCCGAGUGGCGAACGGGUGAGUAACACGUGAGUAACCUGCCCUUGACUUUGGGAUAACUUCAGGAAACUGGGGCUAAUACCGGAUAGGAGCUCCUGCUGCAUGGUGGGGGUUGGAAAGUUUCGGCGGUUGGGGAUGGACUCGCGGCUUAUCAGCUUGUUGGUGGGGUAGUGGCUUACCAAGGCUUUGACGGGUAGCCGGCCUGAGAGGGUGACCGGCCACAUUGGGACUGAGAUACGGCCCAGACUCCUACGGGAGGCAGCAGUGGGGAAUAUUGCACAAUGGGCGGAAGCCUGAUGCAGCAACGCCGCGUGCGGGAUGACGGCCUUCGGGUUGUAAACCGCUUUCGCCUGUGACGAAGCGUGAGUGACGGUAAUGGGUAAAGAAGCACCGGCUAACUACGUGCCAGCAGCCGCGGUGAUACGUAGGGUGCGAGCGUUGUCCGGAUUUAUUGGGCGUAAAGGGCUCGUAGGUGGUUGAUCGCGUCGGAAGUGUAAUCUUGGGGCUUAACCCUGAGCGUGCUUUCGAUACGGGUUGACUUGAGGAAGGUAGGGGAGAAUGGAAUUCCUGGUGGAGCGGUGGAAUGCGCAGAUAUCAGGAGGAACACCAGUGGCGAAGGCGGUUCUCUGGGCCUUUCCUGACGCUGAGGAGCGAAAGCGUGGGGAGCGAACAGGCUUAGAUACCCUGGUAGUCCACGCUGUAAACGGUGGGUACCAGGUGUGGGGUCCAUUCCACGGGUUCCGUGCCGUAGCUAACGCUUUAAGUACCCCGCCUGGGGAGUACGGCCGCAAGGCUAAAACUCAAAGGAAUUGACGGGGCCCCGCACAAGCGGCGGAGCAUGCGGAUUAAUUCGAUGCAACGCGUAGAACCUUACCUGGGUUUGACAUGGAUCGGGAGUGCUCAGAGAUGGGUGUGCCUCUUUUGGGGUCGGUUCACAGGUGGUGCAUGCCUGUCGUCAGCUCGUGUCGUGAGAUGUUGGGUUAAGUCCCGCAACGAGCGCAACCCUUGUUCACUGUUGCCAGCACGUUAUGGUGGGGACUCAGUGGAGACCGCCGGGGUCAACUCGGAGGAAGGUGGGGAUGACGUCAAGUCAUCAUGCCCCUUAUGUCCAGGGCUUCACGCAUGCUACAAUGGCUGGUACAGAGAGUGGCGAGCCUGUGAGGGUGAGCGAAUCUCGGAAAGCCGGUCUCAGUUCGGAUUGGGGUCUGCAACUCGACCUCAUGAAGUCGGAGUCGCUAGUAAUCGUAGAUCAGCAACGCUGCGGUGAAUACGUUCCCGGG